This 253-nucleotide ribosomal RNA is filed under the name uncultured bacterium. RNAcentral describes it as "partial 16S ribosomal RNA". It matches the Rfam family "Bacterial small subunit ribosomal RNA", at positions 524 to 776 of the family's 1533-position model. The record is from RNAcentral.
UACCGAGGUCUCAAGCGUUGUUCGGAUUCAUUGGGCGUAAAGGGUGCGUAGGUGGCGGGGUAAGUCAGGUGUGAAAUCUCGGGGCUCAACCUCGAAACUGCACUUGAUACUGCCCUGCUCGAGUACUGGAGAGGAGAUUGGAAUUUACGGUGUAGCAGUGAAAUGCGUAGAUAUCGUAAGGAAGACCAGUGGCGAAGGCGAAUCUCUGGACAGUUACUGACACUGAGGCACGAAGGCCAGGGGAGCAAACGGG